Molecule: transfer RNA, 57 nt
Filed under: Hypsibius dujardini
Lineage: Eukaryota; Metazoa; Tardigrada; Eutardigrada; Parachela; Hypsibiidae
Description: transfer RNA-Asp
Source: RNAcentral
AAAUUUUAGUUAAACCAAAUAACCUUGAGUUGUCAACUCAAAAUUGUAGAAAUACAA